CAGGUUAAGACUUUCUUCGGUCUCUCACAAGCCAUCUGACUUCGGAAGCAUGGACAGCUGGCUCUCACUCAGGUUAAAUAAUUUAACAUUUAGGCCUAAAUGUAACUCUUCUUUUCUACCGGAAAAAAAAAACCCUAUGCAAGAGAGAUUCCGAUUUUGGGGCUAUGCCUUCAGCCUAAGAGAGAGCAAAAUCUUUUUCUACCAGCUAAAAGGAGGUGAAAGUUUUGGUCCCCUCACACCGCGGAUCGCCUUUACUUUGUCUAAUCGGGGUGUUUUGAGCCUCAUCGCUACGCCCGAAGUGCAGAAGAGCCUGCGGGAAACGAGCUCGCAACAACCGAGAACCAGGGAUCAACAACAACUCGCGUCGCUUUCCCUAUGUGCAUAUCACUCGACUCUCAUUUAAGCCAGAUGUGUUAACCUGAUCCCUGCGAAACACCAGCUCUCCGUGGAUUUUGACCGCGAGUGACCGGAUGUUGUUUCCGGCCUGAGGUUGCCUGAAAUGCCGUGAGGCUCGUUUGAAAGAUUGCGCCCGAGACCAUAUUUUUUAUGAACCACCAAAAAGAGACAUUUUACCCCCUAGUACAGAAGACUGGAUCUGAGGGCAGCAGCGGGGACAAAUGAUUGUAAUGAAGCGACGGACAUUUCAUGGCUGGUCUUAGAUAAUCGUGAGUCAUUGUGUCUUAUGGUGAGUAGUUUUGCAAGAGGCAUGCAAGCACUGUAGAAAAAGUAAUCAUAAAACUGUUUUUGUGAACACUCUGCUCCCUACGUUAUGCUUUAAAAAAUGUGAUACAUGUAAUGUGAUCAUCAAAGAACAUGACUUUUUUAAAACUUUUAUUCUUAUGCUUUUAAACUAUGUCACAUUAUCAUAAAAUACUUAUUUGUAUGUUAUAAUGUUUUUCUUACACCAUGUGUAAUUUUUAUAGACACCUUGUUCAUUGUAUCAAUGUGUAAUUAUGUAUCUUUGAUAAAUAAAUAAAAUAUUUAAUCUUG
Oreochromis niloticus (Nile tilapia) is the source of this 990-nucleotide long non-coding RNA. RefSeq lists it as uncharacterized. The transcript has 2 exons. The record is from RefSeq and is a predicted model, not a curated record. Lineage: Eukaryota; Metazoa; Chordata; Actinopteri; Cichliformes; Cichlidae.